Molecule: ribosomal RNA, 437 nt
Filed under: uncultured bacterium
Lineage: Bacteria
Description: bacterial SSU rRNA
Rfam family: Bacterial small subunit ribosomal RNA
Source: RNAcentral
GACGAACGCUGGCGGCGCGCCUAACACAUGCAAGUCGAACGGAGCUUAGAGAGCUUGCUUUUUAAGCUUAGUGGCGAACGGGUGAGUAACGCGUGAGUAACCUGCCCUAGAGUGGGGGACAACAGUUGGAAACGACUGCUAAUACCGCAUAAGCCCACGGUACCGCAUGGCACUGAGGGAAAAGGAUUUAUUCGCUUUAGGAUGGACUCGCGUCCAAUUAGCUAGUUGGUGAGGUAACGGUCCACCAAGGCGACGAUUGGUAGCCGGACUGAGAGGUUGAACGGCCACAUUGGGACUGAGACACGGCCCAGACUCCUACGGGAGGCAGCAGUGGGGGAUAUUGCACAAUGGGGGAAACCCUGAUGCAGCGACGCCGCGUGGAGGAAGAAGGUUUUCGGAUUGUAAACUCCUGUCGUUAGGGACGAUAAUGACGGUAC